UACGUAGGGCGCAAGCGUUAUCCGGAAUUAUUGGGCGUAAAGAGCUCGUAGGCGGUUUGUCGCGUCUGCCGUGAAAGUCCGGGGCUCAACUCCGGAUCUGCGGUGGGUACGGGCAGACUAGAGUGAUGUAGGGGAGACUGGAAUUCCUGGUGUAGCGGUGAAAUGCGCAGAUAUCAGGAGGAACACCAGUGGCGAAGGCGGCACUCUGGGCCGGUACUGACGCUGAGGAGCGAAAGCGUGGGGAGCGAACAGG
This 253-nucleotide ribosomal RNA is filed under the name uncultured bacterium. RNAcentral's name for it is "partial 16S ribosomal RNA". It matches the Rfam family "Bacterial small subunit ribosomal RNA", at positions 524 to 776 of the family's 1533-position model. The record is from RNAcentral.